This is an RNA transcript of Xenopus laevis (African clawed frog), 2197 nucleotides long. It is a transcript of the gene named protein kinase C delta type-like, with no coding region annotated. Lineage: Eukaryota; Metazoa; Chordata; Amphibia; Anura; Pipidae. The transcript has 9 exons. The record is from RefSeq and is a predicted model, not a curated record.
UACUUUACAGCGCUACGCAAUAUGUUGGCACUUUAUAAAUACAUAAUUAUAAUAAUAGUUUUCUGUCUUUUUUUGUGGCUAAUUCCAUGAAGGAAUUUGUAUAAAAAGAGUAAAAAAAAGUCCCCUUGUUUUUUUAUAAAGCAAAUCCAAAUAAAUGGCCAACUGCUCAUGAUUAAUGAGGCUAUAUACAUUAAACAUGGGAAGCUAUGUAAUACAUGUCCCUGUAUAACUGUCAUUAACAGUAGCGUGCACACGGCCAAAUCACAGUUGCUGAAUGACAGUUGACCAUAGAGCUGUCUCAGUGAAUGGUUCACUUUCACAGCGUCUCCCCAGUGAGAAGCGUUUUUUCUAUAUUUUAGUCAUUUUCAGGAUAUAUCAACCAACUAUGGAUAGAUACAAAAAUUCUCCAGAAUCCCGUGGGCUCACGAGGAAGAGAACCAUCAAGGAGAAGACAGAAGGGGCACCUAAAAAGACCAAGCUUAUGGGUAACAACAUGGAGGAGAAAAGCUUGCGUCAAGUAGAGCAAGAGGUGCUGAAGAGAGAGAGAGAGCGAGAGCCAGCAGAAGCAGGAAGAAGUGGAGCGAGUAGGCCUUGUGUUGAAGCUCAGAUGCCUAAAAAUCCUAAAAACAUCACCAACUACAAGUUUCACAAGGAGCUGGGAAAAGGAAGCUUCGGAAAGGUUAUGCUGGCGUCGCUUAACAACUGCAGAGAUCAAGUGGCAAUCAAAGUGAUUCGGAAGACUACGAGUGUAGAGGACAUCCUGACGGAGGCGCGCACUCUCAGAAUCACUGGAGCUUGUCCCUUUCUCUGCCAUGGAUAUGGAGCUUUCCAAACGCAGAUGCAUGCGUUUCUUAUAAUGGAGUUCAUGAGUGGAGGGACCCUGGAACAGCUUAUAAAUAAGAGAGGUUGCCUGAACAGGGACAUCAUACAAUUCUAUUCUGCAGAGAUGAUCAUCGGUCUACAGUAUCUGCAUUCAUGUGGUAUUAUGCACCGAGAUCUUAAACCACCAAACAUCUUACUGAGCGCCGAGGGGCAUAUCAAGAUCAGUGAUUUCGGCCUAGCUGUAGAAGGGAUUUUCGGCAACAAGAAGAUGUACGAUCUAGUAGGGUCCUACCACUACAUGGCUCCAGAGAUUCAUCUGAUGAGUGGAUAUGACGCAGGAGUGGAUUGGUGGGCAUUUGCCAUUAUUCUGUGCCAAAUGGCCGCUAGAAGAUCUCCAUUCCACGAAGGCUUGACACUGCUCAACAUCAUCGAAUCAGUCACCUUGAAGCAGCCUUCCAUUCCAGAGGAUAUCAGCCCUGACCUGAAAAGUCUGAUGCAGGAGCUCUUUGAGAAGAAUCCAGACAAGCGCCUGGGCACAUCGGGGGAUAUAAGGAAACACCCGUUUUAUAGAUCGGUUGACUGGGCAGCAUUGGAGAACAGGAAGAUUCCACCUCCUUUCAAGCCACAAUCUGUAAGUCCAUCACUGCAGCAGCUCUAUCUGGAGGAAACAUCAUUUUCUGCACACCAAGUAUCAGGUUUAUUCUGGUGGGAUACGACCUGUGCAUAGUAGGCAUAUUACUUUUAAUGGAGAAUUCAACCUUUUUUAAAAAAAACAAAAAAAACUACCAAUUGAGUCUCAAUGUAUUCUUUCACCUUUUGCCCACUUCACCUAUUGUAUUUCCCCAGGUCCCUUUAUUACAAGUUCAGUAAGUGUAUUGUGCUCAUGAUGUGGCUUCCUUCCAUUAUAGAGACAUUUUCAUUUGCCUUCUCCUGAAGUAACCAAUCAUUGCUAUUUUCUGUAAUUCAGCAGGUCCUUUCUCCUUCAGUGCUGUGGCUGGAGGUAUAUUCUUGAAACGCCAAACCCCCACCCCCUUAGCCAGACUAUGACAAAUGUGGUUGGUGCUUGGCUGGUUCUGUUCUGGGCAAGGCAGGAUACCGACUGUGGAUGUCAGUGCAGUCUGUGAAGAGCCCCUGUCAUUCAUAGAAGAGCCAGGCUGCAUCAACCCAUCAGGUGGUAUAAAAAUGAUUCAGGGUCUGUCAUUCCUGAGUCCCAGUUGGGAAAGAUCUGCAGGUCCCUUUUGCCUCCACCCUCUGCGCUCUCCACCUAGGGCCCCCGCCAUCGGCCCUCCUAUACUCAGACCCCUGCCCUCAGCCUUCCCCACUUCUGCCCCCCCACCUCUGGCCCCCAUCUUUCCUCCCCCAUCAUUCCCCCCCA